RNAcentral lists this ribosomal RNA (253 nucleotides) under uncultured bacterium. Its description in RNAcentral is "partial 16S ribosomal RNA". It matches the Rfam family "Bacterial small subunit ribosomal RNA", at positions 524 to 776 of the family's 1533-position model. The record is from RNAcentral.
UACGAAGGGGGCUAGCGUUGUUCGGAAUCACUGGGCGUAAAGGGCGCGUAGGCGGUGUGUCAAGUCAGGCGUGAAAGCCCCGGGCUCAACCUGGGAACCGCGCUUGAGACUGGCACGCUCGAGUUCGGGAGAGGAUGGUGGAAUUCCCAGUGUAGAGGUGAAAUUCGUAGAUAUUGGGAAGAACACCGAUGGCGAAGGCAGCCAUCUGGACCGACACUGACGCUGAGGCGCGAAAGCGUGGGGAGCAAACAGG